UCAGGAUGAACGCUGGCGGCGUGCCUAACACAUGCAAGUCGAGCGAUUCUCUUCGGAGAAGAGCGGCGGACGGGUGAGUAACGCGUGGGUAACCUGCCCUGUACACACGGAUAACAUACCGAAAGGUAUGCUAAUACGAGAUAAUAUGCUUUUAUCGCAUGAUAGAAGUAUCAAAGCUUUUGCGGUACAGGAUGGACCCGCGUCUGAUUAGCUAGUUGGUAAGGUAACGGCUUACCAAGGCGACGAUCAGUAGCCGACCUGAGAGGGUGAUCGGCCACAUUGGAACUGAGACACGGUCCAAACUCCUACGGGAGGCAGCAGUGGGGAAUAUUGCACAAUGGGCGAAAGCCUGAUGCAGCAACGCCGCGUGAGCGAUGAAGGCCUUCGGGUCGUAAAGCUCUGUCCUCAAGGAAGAUAAUGACGGUACUUGAGGAGGAAGCCCCGGCUAACUACGUGCCAGCAGCCGCGGUAAUACGUAGGGGGCUAGCGUUAUCCGGAAUUACUGGGCGUAAAGGGUGCGUAGGUGGUUUCUUAAGUCAGAGGUGAAAGGCUACGGCUCAACCGUAGUAAGCCUUUGAAACUGGGAAACUUGAGUGCAGGAGAGGAGAGUGGAAUUCCUAGUGUAGCGGUGAAAUGCGUAGAUAUUAGGAGGAACACCAGUUGCGAAAGCGGCUCUCUGGACUGUAACUGACACUGAGGCACGAAAGCGUGGGGAGCAAACAGGAUUAGAUACCCUGGUAGUCCACGCCGUAAACGAUGAGUACUAGCUGUCGGAGGUACCCCCUUCGGUGGCGCAGCUAACGCAUUAAGUACUCCGCCUGGGAAGUACGCUCGCAAGAGUGAAACUCAAA
Molecule: ribosomal RNA, 851 nt
Filed under: uncultured bacterium
Lineage: Bacteria
Description: bacterial SSU rRNA
Rfam family: Bacterial small subunit ribosomal RNA
Source: RNAcentral